This 301-nucleotide ribosomal RNA is filed under the name uncultured bacterium. Its description in RNAcentral is "partial 16S ribosomal RNA". It matches the Rfam family "Bacterial small subunit ribosomal RNA", at positions 509 to 808 of the family's 1533-position model. The record is from RNAcentral.
CAGCCGCCGCGGUAAUACGUAGGGUGCGAGCGUUAAUCGGAAUUACUGGGCGUAAAGCGUGCGCAGGCGGUUUGUUAAGACAGAUGUGAAAUCCCCGGGCUUAACCUGGGAACUGCAUUUGUGACUGGCGGGCUAGAGUAUGGCAGAGGGGGGGUAGAAUUCCACGUGUAGCAGUGAAAUGCGUAGAGAUGUGGAGGAAUACCGAUGGCGAAGGCAGCCCCCUGGGCCAAUACCGACGCUCAUGCACGAAAGCGUGGGGAGCAAACAGGAUUAGAUACCCCCGUAGUCCCUGUCUCUUAUA